GAGUGGACUCCUACGGGAGGCAGCAGUGGGGAAUCUUCCGCAAUGGACGAAAGUCUGACGGAGCAACGCCGCGUGAGUGAUGACGGCCUUCGGGUUGUAAAGCUCUGUUAAUCGGGACGAAAGGCCUUCUUGCGAAUAGUUAGAAGGAUUGACGGUACCGGAAUAGAAAGCCACGGCUAACUACGUGCCAGCAGCCGCGGUAAUACGUAGGUGGCAAGCGUUGUCCGGAAUUAUUGGGCGUAAAGCGCGCGCAGGCGGAUUGGUCAGUCUGUCUUAAAAGUUCGGGGCUUAACCCCGUGAUGGGAUGGAAACUGCCAAUCUAGAGUAUCGGAGAGGAAAGUGGAAUUCCUAGUGUAGCGGUGAAAUGCGUAGAUAUUAGGAAGAACACCAGUGGCGAAGGCGACUUUCUGGACGAAAACUGACGCUGAGGCGCGAAAGCCAGGGGAGCGAACGGGAUUAGAUACCCUUGUAGUCCU
This 476-nucleotide ribosomal RNA is filed under the name uncultured bacterium. Its description in RNAcentral is "bacterial SSU rRNA". It matches the Rfam family "Bacterial small subunit ribosomal RNA", at positions 329 to 797 of the family's 1533-position model. The record is from RNAcentral.